CAAGCCCUGGAAACGGGGUCUAAUACCGGAUAACACUCUCUUCCUCCUGGGAGAGGGUUGAAAGCUCCGGCGGUGAAGGAUGAGCCCGCGGCCUAUCAGCUAGUUGGUGGGGUAAUGGCCUACCAAGGCGACGAUGGGUAGCCGGCCUGAGAGGGCGACCGGCCACACUGGGACUGAGACACGGCCCAGACUCCUACGGGAGGCAGCAGUGGGGAAUAUUGCACAAUGGGCGAAAGCCUGAUGCAGCGACGCCGCGUGAGGGAUGACGGCCUUCGGGUUGUAAACCUCUUUCAGCAGGGAAGAAGCGAAAGUGACGGUACCUGCAGAAGGAGCGCCGGCUAACUACGUGCCAGCAGCCGCGGUAAUACGUAGGGCGCAAGCGUUGUCCGGAAUUAUUGGGCGUAAAGAGCUCGUAGGCGGCGUGUCACGUCGGAUGUGAAAGCCCGGGGCUUAACCCCGGGUCUGCAUUCGAUACGGGCAGGCUAGAGUUCGGUAGGGGAGAUCGGAAUUCCUGGUG
This 517-nucleotide ribosomal RNA is filed under the name uncultured Streptomyces sp. Its description in RNAcentral is "bacterial SSU rRNA". It matches the Rfam family "Bacterial small subunit ribosomal RNA", at positions 144 to 675 of the family's 1533-position model. Lineage: Bacteria; Bacillati; Actinomycetota; Actinomycetes; Kitasatosporales; Streptomycetaceae. The record is from RNAcentral.